Molecule: ribosomal RNA, 440 nt
Filed under: uncultured bacterium
Lineage: Bacteria
Description: bacterial SSU rRNA
Rfam family: Bacterial small subunit ribosomal RNA
Source: RNAcentral
CCUACGGGCCGCACCAGUGGGGAAUAUUGGACAACGGGGGCAACCCUGAUCCAGCAAUGCCGCGUGUGUGAAGAAGGUUUUCGGAUUGUAAAGCACUUUCGGCGGGGACGAUGAUGACGGUACCCGCAGAAGAAGCCCCGGCUAACUUCGUGCCAGCAGCCGCGGUAAUACGAAGGGGGCUAGCGUUGCUCGGAAUGACUGGGCGUAAAGGGCGUGUAGGCGGUUUGUACAGUCAGAUGUGAAAUCCCCGGGCUUAACCUGGGAGCUGCAUUUGAUACGUGCAGACUAGAGUGUGAGAGAGGGUUGUGGAAUUCCCAGUGUAGAGGUGGAAUUCGUAGAUAUUGGGAAGAACACCGGUGGCGAAGGCGGCAACCUGGCUCAUGACUGACGCUGAGGCGCGAAAGCGUGGGGAGCAAACAGGAUUAGAUACCCGUGUAGUC